Callorhinus ursinus (northern fur seal) is the source of this 378-nucleotide non-coding RNA. Lineage: Eukaryota; Metazoa; Chordata; Mammalia; Carnivora; Otariidae. The record is from RefSeq and is a predicted model, not a curated record.
UGUGUCUGGCGCUGCGCUCUCUCUCUCUGGCCCUCCCGGACGGUGCCCAUUUUGACGUCCUUGUCAUCCAGUCAGAAAAGAAGCCGUUCACAAGCCCACAUAUUUUCCUCAGUGAGACAAAGGAGUAUUUAUGAUAUACUGAAACAGCUGAAGAAGUAUUCAGUUCAAAGUUCAGAGGGAGGAAACAGAGAAACAGGAGACAAGGGAGUGCACAAGAGAGACAGCACAAUUAGGUCACUGCACUGCCCAGGAAACAGAAGCACAUCUGAGAAGAUGUCUCCAUCCCUCCACCUGAGUGUUGUGUUGCAGAUGCAGCCAUAGCUGUGGAUCUCCCAGUGAUUCCUUCUUCAACUGGAACCCGAGCUAUGGAACAGAGAU